UGUAAUUCCCAUUUUGAGGACAUAUCUGAACUUUAUUGUCAUUUGAAAAUGUGUUUAGCUAGUGAGGAUGAGCAUUUGAGAAAAAUGUCUAAGUGAAUGUAAGAAAAGUUCAAGAGUAUUGGGCUGAGACUAAAAAUAUGAAUAAAAUGAUUUAUUGCUUCCGUCUAGGAUCCACGUAACAUAUUUGAAUAUGUUGAGGGAGCACUUGAAGAACUUUUUGGGGAAGAAAAAGGGAAGAAAAUAAAUACUAAGGUGUAUG
Molecule: long non-coding RNA, 259 nt
Filed under: Nicotiana benthamiana
Lineage: Eukaryota; Viridiplantae; Streptophyta; Magnoliopsida; Solanales; Solanaceae
Description: long non-coding RNA (NBEN_LNC015131)
Source: RNAcentral